UACGAAGGGGACUAGCGUUGUUCGGAAUCACUGGGCGUAAAGCGCACGUAGGCGGAUUCGUAAGUCAGGGGUGAAAUCCCGGGGCUCAACCUCGGAACUGCAUCUGAUACUGGAUGGCUUGAGUUCGGGAGAGGGAUGCGGAAUUCCAGGUGUAGCGGUGAAAUGCGUAGAUAUCUGGAGGAACACCGGUGGCGAAGGCGGCAUCCUGGACCGACACUGACGCUGAGGAGCGAAAGCCAGGGGAGCAAACGGG
This 253-nucleotide ribosomal RNA is filed under the name uncultured bacterium. RNAcentral describes it as "partial 16S ribosomal RNA". It matches the Rfam family "Bacterial small subunit ribosomal RNA", at positions 524 to 776 of the family's 1533-position model. The record is from RNAcentral.